UGGGGAAUUUUGGACAAUGGGGGAAACCCUGAUCCAGCCAUCCCGCGUGUGCGAUGAAGGCCUUCGGGUUGUAAAGCACUUUUGGUAGGAAAGAAACGUCAUGGGUUAAUACCCCGUGAAACUGACGGUACCUGCAGAAUAAGCACCGGCUAACUACGUGCCAGCAGCCGCGGUAAUACGUAGGGUGCAAGCGUUAAUCGGAAUUACUGGGCGUAAAGCGUGCGCAGGCGGUUCGGAAAGAAAGAUGUGAAAUCCCAGAGCUCAACUUUGGAACUGCAUUUUUAACUACCGGGCUAGAGUGUGUCAGAGGGAGGUGGAAUUCAGCGUGUAGCAGUGAAAUGCGUAGAUAUGCGGAGAAACACCGAUGGCGAAGGCAGCCUCCUGGGAUAACACUGACGCUCAUGCACGAAAGCGUGGGGAGCAAACAGG
This 429-nucleotide ribosomal RNA is filed under the name Acidobacteriota bacterium. RNAcentral describes it as "Acidobacteria bacterium partial 16S ribosomal RNA". It matches the Rfam family "Bacterial small subunit ribosomal RNA", at positions 355 to 776 of the family's 1533-position model. Lineage: Bacteria; Pseudomonadati; Acidobacteriota. The record is from RNAcentral.